RNAcentral lists this ribosomal RNA (497 nucleotides) under uncultured bacterium. Its description in RNAcentral is "partial 16S ribosomal RNA". It matches the Rfam family "Bacterial small subunit ribosomal RNA", at positions 28 to 507 of the family's 1533-position model. The record is from RNAcentral.
GACGAACGCUGGCGGCGUGCCUAAUACAUGCCAGUUGAGCGCUGAAGGUUGGUCCUUGUUCCACCUGGGUGAGCAGCGAACGGGUGAGUAACGCGUGGGGAAUCUGCCUUUGAGCGGGGGACAACAUUUGGAAACGAAUGCUAAUACCGCAUAAUAUCUUUAACCACAAGUUUUAAGUUUGAAAGAUGCAAUUGCAUCACUUAAAGAUUAUCCCGCGUUGUCUUAGCUAGUUGGUGAAGUAAAGGCUCACCAAGGCGAUGAUACAUAGCCGAACUUAGAGGGUGAUCGGGCAAAUUGGGACUGGGAAAAGGGUCAAACUUCCACGGGAAGGAGCAGGAGGGAAACCUUGGGGAAGGACGAAAGUCUGACCGAGCAAAGCCGGGGGGGGGAAGAAGGUUUUCGGAUUGGAAAACUCUGUUGGUAGAGAAGAAAGUUAGUGAGAGGGAAAAGCGCAUGAAGUGACGGUAACUACUCAGAAAGGGACGGCUAACUACGUG